Molecule: ribosomal RNA, 451 nt
Filed under: uncultured bacterium
Lineage: Bacteria
Description: partial 16S ribosomal RNA
Rfam family: Bacterial small subunit ribosomal RNA
Source: RNAcentral
GUGGGGAAUAUUGGACAAUGGGCGCAAGCCUGAUCCAGCCAUGCCGCGUGUGUGAAGAAGGCCUUUUGGUUGUAAAGCACUUUAAGCGAGGAGGAGGCUCCUUUAGUUAAUACCUAAAGUGAGUGGACGUUACUCGCAGAAUAAGCACCGGCUAACUCUGUGCCAGCAGCCGCGGUAAUACAGAGGGUGCGAGCGUUAAUCGGAUUUGCUGGGCGUAAAGCGUGCGUAGGUGGCCAAUUAAGUCAAAUGUGAAAUCCCCGAGCUUAACUUGGGAAUUGUAUUCGAUACUGGUUGGCUAGAGUAUGGGAGAGGAUGGUAGAAUUCCAGGUGUAGCGGUGAAAUGCGUAGAGAUCUGGAGGAAUACCGAUGGCGAAGGCAGCCAUCUGGCCUAAUACUGACACUGAGGUGCGAAAGCAUGGGGAGCAAACAGGAUUAGAUACCCCUGUAGUCC